UACGUAGGUGGCAAGCGUUGUCCGGAUUUAUUGGGUUUAAAGGGUGCGUAGGCGGCCCUGUAAGUCAGUGCUGAAAUAUCCCGGCUUAACCGGGAGGGUGGCAUUGAUACUGCAGGGCUUGAGUAAAGUUGAGGUAGGCGGAAUUGACGGUGUAGCGGUGAAAUGCUUAGAUAUCGUCAAGAACACCGAUAGUGUAGACAGCUUACUAGCUUAACUUGACGCUGAGGCACGAAAGUGUGGGGAUCAAACAGG
RNAcentral lists this ribosomal RNA (252 nucleotides) under uncultured bacterium. RNAcentral's name for it is "partial 16S ribosomal RNA". It matches the Rfam family "Bacterial small subunit ribosomal RNA", at positions 524 to 776 of the family's 1533-position model. The record is from RNAcentral.